This is a long non-coding RNA of Callithrix jacchus (white-tufted-ear marmoset), 1848 nucleotides long. The record is from Ensembl. NCBI's taxonomy places the organism in Eukaryota, Metazoa, Chordata, Mammalia, Primates, Cebidae.
AUGCUUUGCUCUCUACUUCCUUUAAAGGUUCCUUAUCUCUUUAAGAGUUUAGACUUCUUUUAUAACUGUGUCAGCUGCAACUCCCAGAGGUCCUGCCUUGCCUCCAGGUUUGUUUACCACUCAGCAGGGAUUUGUUUACUACCUAGUAGGAGAAGAGUCAAGAAGAUAAAAGCCAAUCAGGGAAGAAGAAAGACAGUACCAGACAGAAAAUACCAAGAAAAAAACAAAACAAAAAAAAACUACACCAUAGCCUUGUUGAGUAGACUAAAAUAAUCCAUGUAAAGAGCAUAGGUCAGUCCAAGUACAUUAUGGAGAUACACAAAAUUUAGCUCUCAUCAUCAUCAUCAAUAAUGGUAUGAUAAUUUUCUGUUUUAUUAAAAAAUGAGGCCAGACACAGUGGCUCAUGCCAAUAAUCCCAGCAUUUAGGGAGGCCAAGGUACAAAGAUUGCUUGAGCCCAGGAGUUUCCAACCAGCCUGGGCAACAGAGCAAGAACCCGUCUCUACUGAAAAAAAAAAAAAAAAUUAGCCAGGCAUGGUGGCUCAUUCCUGUGGUAUGUUGAGACUGAAGUGAGCCAUGGUCAUACCACUGCACUCCAGCCUGGGUGACAAAGCAAGAUCCUUUCUGUUGCAAAAACCAAAACCAAAACCAAAAAACACGCAAUACCUAAAGUCAUAUGUAAUCUACAAGGAUUUAUUUUGAAAUAAUUUUGGGGUUGUAUCUCAUGGAAUAUUUAAGACUGUCACCAGGAAUCUCUGGAACCAUUUGAGAUAAAGUCACUUCCACAUCGUGAGCCUUCCUCUCAAUGGCAAUUCUGUGAGAUGCCCCUGUCUCUCCAGGAUGACUAAAAAGAGGCUCUGUAGUCUAUGAAAACAGAGACUUCUCUCUCUCUCUUUUUUUUUUUUUUUAAAGAUGGGGUUUCACCAUGUUGGCCAGGCUGGUCUUGAACUCCUUACCUCAGGUGAUCCACCCACCUCGGCCUCCCCAAGUGCUGGGAUUACAGGUGUGAGCCACCACGCCUGGCGAAAACAGACUUCUCUAAGCCAUUAUAAGACCUAGUUAAGAUAGAACAAAAAACCAUUCUGCAAUUUAAGCAGAAAGUUGCAUAUUCACCAAGCCUCUGCAAAUCCAUACCCUUCACCCCUGGCAGACAGAUAGUGGAUGAUGUUACCUGAACAGUUAAGUUGGCACUGGACUAUUUUCAGGUGCAAUAAAUCUCAUCACCUUCCACAGUUAAGGUUUAUUUCCCUCAUGCACAAAAAGGAGCAGAGAGACUCCUCUUGGUUCCAUUUUAGUUUCUUUGACCAGACACAGCCAAGGAUCUCUUGGGUAGAACCGGUUCCAUAAGUCAAGAACCCAAGUGUCUGGCAUUUUCCUCUGUGUGCCUGAGGUUUGUAGAGAGGUUAAGACUCCUCCAGGAGCAUCCCGGAAAAAAGCUAAUUGCUCCCACAGAGGAAAGCAGUAUCCUAUCCUUACUUCUUCCCAUAACAGUAAGAACUGCUAAAUGCCCAUCAACUUUCUUCUCUAGAGUUGUGUUGCAUCUCCCUUAGUCUAUCUGCAUCAGAGUAGAUGCCAAAGAUCCUUUCCAAACAGCACAAAGAUAAUAAGCUCAGAUAUAAAUCACGUAUGAUAUCCGCUAAUUGAUUGUAUGUCAGGGAUACUCAUUUAUGAGGCUGUAAAAUGAAUUCUUUUACAAUGAAUGUCAAUAUUUUACACUCGAGUUUCAAAAACUCAUAGUUUUGAAGUGUUUCAAACCAUAGGGAAUAAAAUAAAAGUUACCAAUAGCUUGUCUUUGCAAAAGGGAAAUGGAAAUUGAGAUAAAGAGGCCAGACAAUUGGGACUCCUGAAGC